Small nucleolar RNA from Sorex fumeus (smoky shrew), 136 nucleotides. RefSeq annotates it as U8 small nucleolar RNA. The transcript has a single exon. The record is from RefSeq and is a predicted model, not a curated record. Lineage: Eukaryota; Metazoa; Chordata; Mammalia; Eulipotyphla; Soricidae.
UUGUCAGGUAGGAUGUUAUUUACUUGUUCCUCUAUUCAGAGGACAGGUGCAACAUGACAUGGGAGUUCGCAUGAUUCAUGAUUAACAUCUCUGCAUGAUUAAAGCUAACAAUACCUUAAUCAUUCCUGUUUCCAAA